AGUCAUACACAGAGAGACAGUCCAUAACAAAAACAAACCUCUCACAAGAGAGCUAUUCAUUCAGAUCAUGCGCCACAAUGGCUCAGACUAAAUACUUGGGGUUUCGAGUCUGACGACAGCACGAGGGCGUGGCUUGUUCGCAAGGUCAAGGAUCAUGCGCCGUUUACAUGCCCCGAAAAGACGGCGAAACAGCCCCAGAGAAACAACGUCGAUCUAGGUUACUUAAAGGUCCUUUGUUUCCUGUGCAUAAUGGCAGAGGCAGACCAGACCAGAAAUACUCUAGAAUGGCUCCCUGGUUGUUUUAAAGUGCUGAACAUCUAAAAAAACACUGUGUCUGGCUUCGUCACCAAUAAAUCGGACCUCAGCACUGUACGAGAAUGCCACAAGAGAGAAACACUGACAUUUUUCAUUGUUUGGUCUGAUGAUAAAAGAAAGAAAGAAAAAGGGCCACAUCGUCUGGUUUGGCAGGUGGAAGAUUUAUCAGAGAAUGUACCACUUACCACACGUACCACCUACCUAAGCAUUGUUGCAGACCAUGUACACCCUUUUAUGGAAACGGUAUUCCCUGGUGGCUAUGGCCUCUUUCAGCAGGAUAAUGCCUCUGCCACAAAGCAAAAAUGGUUCAGGAAUGGUUUGAGGAGCACAACGAGUUUGAGGAGGUAUAUGGCUGUGAGGUACAGUCAUACUAAUGAAUUGGGAGGAUUCUGGGAAUAUGGUGGUCUCUGCUCUGCACCACAAAAAGAUGCCAGCAGUUGGGGGGCUUUUGUACUACUGAAUGCUCUUGCCCUGACGAGAGGCAUCAGUCCAAGCCAUCUGACACAACGCCAUGCAGUGGAAAUGAGGAAGUUUGUGUACCACAAACUCAAACAAAAUGCAUUAUGUUAAAGGUUUAGGUAACCCAAAAAUGAAAAUUCUGUCAUUAAUUACUCGCCCUCAUGUCGUUUUAUACCCAUAAGACCAUCGUUCAUCUUCAGAACACAAAUUAAGAUAUUUUUGAUAAAAUCGGAGAGGUUUCUGAUUCCCAAGAGAAAGCAACAUAAUUACCACAUUCAUAGAUGCAAACUCCUCACCUUUCAGUGACAACUCACCUUUUUGAGAUCAAAAUGGGUCACUUAUGGGAUUUGCAUAGAUCCAAUGUUUUUAUGGGGUGGGGGGGUCUGAGAUGUGGGAACGGUGAAGAGAGAGAGGGCAAACAGUUAGCAGUUUAGCUCAGUAUUGCCGUCUAAUCAGCCAACAUUGUCUUAAAUAGCCAUAGCACUUCAUCUUUUUAUAACAUGAGGUUUUGACCAAAUGUAGCCUAUUCAAUCUUGAUUUUGGUGAAAUGUUGCAACAUUUUUUUGUGUGUGUGAAAUUACAGUUUUGGACAUACAUGGUAAUAACAAAUAAAUUAAAAAAUCAAAGUAACUACAAAUGAGCAUGUAAAGCAAAUAUCUUUAAAAAAAAUUAUGUUCGGAGCAUGCCCCCGCCCUAAUGUUCUCACUUUUUUUCCCCCUUACCUGUUUGCAUCCCUGAGGUCCAGAGAAGUAGUAAAAACAUAAUAGAAAUAAAAACUAAAAUAGUCAAUGUGACUACAGUGGUUCAACCUUAAUGUUAUGAAACAAAAAUAAUGACUUUAUUUAAUUUCUUCUCUUACCUGUCCUACUCUGUUUACGUUGUAGAGACAGAGAAGUGUUUCCGGGUUCUACAUCAGAACGCCAGCUCAUAAUUGGUCUGCCUCAGUAUCACACACAUGCGUUGUGUUGCUCAUGUGAAGAACAUCGGCCAAAUUGAGAUUCGCGUUCUGACGUAUAACCUGGAAGCGCUGCACUGUCUCUACAACUGUCUCUGUAAUUAAUAACACAAAUUUCACUUUUGGGUGAACUAACCCGUUAAUGUUUGUUCUUUUCUUCCCUUGGGUGCUUUCCCUACUUUUUACUUUCUCUUUCAUAGUGUCACAGCACCUGACUCUGUGUUUACCGUUACGUCAUUGACCCCAUCUCCAAUGUGUUUGCUGCACCGUGGCAUAAAAUUGGAGUCAAGACGCCACUCGCGAGGCCUUCUGUUGUUGUGUUAUAGCCUCUGUCUGUGUUUUCUAGGGACUACAGUGUAGACCCUGUGAGAUUAGAUUAGCAUGUUCCCAGUUUGUGUAACUGUACUCUUGUGUAUCUGUAAUCAUUCAUCUUGCCUCUCAUGUCCCUUGACCAAUUCUCCUCCCCUUCCCAAUUUGUUACUCAUUUGUAAUUUGUAAUAACUUUUUUUGCAUAUGUGUAAAUAGUAUAUUUUCUUUUUUAUUUCUAUUUCUUCAUUGUAAACACAUUUUCCCCUUCUCAUGCUAUUUUCAUACCCUUACAUAUUGUAAAUAAAUCAUUUGCUUGUUCA
Long non-coding RNA from Ctenopharyngodon idella (grass carp), 2358 nucleotides. RefSeq lists it as uncharacterized. The record is from RefSeq and is a predicted model, not a curated record. Lineage: Eukaryota; Metazoa; Chordata; Actinopteri; Cypriniformes; Xenocyprididae. The transcript is spliced from 7 exons.